This 190-nucleotide unclassified non-coding RNA is filed under the name soil metagenome. Its description in RNAcentral is "partial internal transcribed spacer 1". The record is from RNAcentral.
AAAGAUAUAGCAUAUUCUUCUGAAUAUACUUUAUUAACCCAUUCCGAGUACCUUUACCCGUUGCUUCCGCGAGGCUGUCCUCACGGCCCUCUGAAGAUUUAUCUUUGGGGAGUCCUUGCGGAAGGUAUACAAUAAACUCUUGCAUUACCAUGUCCAUCUGUCUGAAAUCUGUUUAAAAAACAAAUAUUAA